UACGAAGGGGGCUAGCGUUGCUCGGAAUCACUGGGCGUAAAGCGCACGUAGGCGGACUCUUAAGUCGGUGGUGAAAUCCUGGAGCUCAACUCCAGAACUGCCUUCGAUACUGAGAGUCUCGAGUCCGGGAGAGGUGAGUGGAACUGCGAGUGUAGAGGUGAAAUUCGUAGAUAUUCGCAAGAACACCAGUGGCGAAGGCGGCUCACUGGCCCGGUACUGACGCUGAGGUGCGAAAGCGUGGGGAGCAACCAGG
RNAcentral lists this ribosomal RNA (253 nucleotides) under uncultured bacterium. RNAcentral describes it as "partial 16S ribosomal RNA". It matches the Rfam family "Bacterial small subunit ribosomal RNA", at positions 524 to 776 of the family's 1533-position model. The record is from RNAcentral.